Molecule: ribosomal RNA, 441 nt
Filed under: Streptococcus mitis
Lineage: Bacteria; Bacillati; Bacillota; Bacilli; Lactobacillales; Streptococcaceae
Description: bacterial SSU rRNA
Rfam family: Bacterial small subunit ribosomal RNA
Source: RNAcentral
GACGAACGCGGCGGCGUGCCUAAUACAUGCAAGUAGAACGCUGAAGGAGGAGCUUGCUUCUCUGGAUGAGUUGCGAACGGGUGAGUAACGCGUAGGUAACCUGCCUGGUAGCGGGGGAUAACUAUUGGAAACGAUAGCUAAUACCGCAUAAGAGUAGAUGUUGCAUGACAUUUGCUUAAAAGGUGCAAUUGCAUCACUACCAGAUGGACCUGCGUUGUAUUAGCUAGUUGGUGAGGUAACGGCUCACCAAGGCAACGAUACAUAGCCGACCUGAGAGGGUGAUCGGCCACACUGGGACUGAGACACGGCCCAGACUCCUACGGGAGGCAGCAGUAGGGAAUCUUCGGCAAUGGACGGAAGUCUGACCGAGCAACGCCGCGUGAGUGAAGAAGGUUUUCGGAUCGUAAGGCUCUGUUGUAAGAGAAGAACGAGUGUGAGAGU